AACCGCAAUAGGCGUCAAGCACUGGAAUGUCUGACGUCGAAAUAUGAAGGCCUGUAUUCGGCUCAAUGCCCUAAGAGGAGUCUGCGGCGGAUUAGCCUGACGGUAGGGUAACGGCCUACCGUAGCUACGAUCUGUACCGGCAUUGGGAGAUGGAGCCGGGAGAUGGACACUGAGACAAAGGUCCAGGUUCUACGGAGCGCAGCAGUCGCGAAACCUUCGCAAUGCGCGCAAGCGUGACGAGGGGACCCCAAGUGCACAUGUACAACAUGUGCUUUUACGAAGUAUAGAUAGCUUCGGGAAUAAGGGCUGGGUAAGACUGGUGCCAGCCUCCGCGGUAACACCAGCAGCCCAAGUGGUGAUCGCGUUUACUGGGUUUAAGGCGUGCGUAGUCGGUUCGGCAAGUCUUCUGUGAAAUCCUAAGGCUUAACUUUAGGGAUUGCAGAAAAUACUACCGUGCUUGAGGCCGGGGUAGGUGUGGGGUAUUCUUGGGGUAGCGGUGAAAUGCUAUAAUCCCUGGAGGACCACCCGUAGCGAAGGCGCCACACUGGAACGGGCCUGACGAUGAGGUACGAGAGCUAGGGGAGCAAACAGGAUUAGAUACCCUGGUAGUCCUAGCCGUAAACGAUGUGGGUUUAGUGUCCCCUAAACCUCGUGUUUGGGGGGUGCUGAAGGGAAACCGUUAAACCCACCACCUGGGGAGUACGGUCGCAAGGCUGAAACUUAAAGGAAUUGGCGGGGGAACACCACAAGGGGUGGAUGCUGCGGUUCAAUUGGAUACAACGUCGGGAAACUUACCAGGUGCGACGGCAGAA
This 812-nucleotide ribosomal RNA is filed under the name uncultured archaeon. RNAcentral's name for it is "bacterial SSU rRNA". It matches the Rfam family "Archaeal small subunit ribosomal RNA", at positions 149 to 947 of the family's 1478-position model. The record is from RNAcentral.